Sus scrofa (pig) is the source of this 73-nucleotide non-coding RNA. Lineage: Eukaryota; Metazoa; Chordata; Mammalia; Artiodactyla; Suidae. The record is from Rfam.
UCCCUGGUGGCCUAGUGGUUAAGGAUCCAGUGUUGUCACUGCUGUGGCUCAGGUUUGAUCCCUGACCUGGGAA